Molecule: ribosomal RNA, 875 nt
Filed under: uncultured marine group I thaumarchaeote
Lineage: Archaea; Thermoproteati; Nitrososphaerota
Description: bacterial SSU rRNA
Rfam family: Archaeal small subunit ribosomal RNA
Source: RNAcentral
CCUGACUGCUAUCGGAUUGAUACUAAGCCAUGCGAGUCAUUGUAGUAAUACAAGGCAGACGGCUCAGUAACGCGUAGUCAACCUACCCUAUGGACGGGGAUAACCUCGGGAAACUGAGAAUAAUACCCGAUAGAACAUUAUGCCUGGAAUGGUUUAUGUUUCAAAUAAUUUAUUGCCGUAGGAUGGGACUGCGGCCUAUCAGUUUGUUGGUGAGGUAAUGGCCCACCAAGACUAUUACAGGUACGGGCUCUGAGAGGAGUAGCCCGGAGAUGGGUACUGAGACACGGACCCAGGCCCUAUGGGGCGCAGCAGGCGAGAAAACUUUGCAAUGUGCGAAAGCACGACAAGGUUAAUCCGAGUGGUUUCUGCUAAAGGAACCUUUUGUCAGUCCUAGAAACACUGAUGAAUAAGGGGUGGGCAAGUUCUGGUGUCAGCCGCCGCGGUAAAACCAGCACCUCAAGUGGUCAGGAUGAUUAUUGGGCCUAAAGCAUCCGUAGCCUGCUUUGUUAGUUUUCGGUUAAAUCCAUACGCUCAACGUAUGGGCUGCCGGGAAUACUGCAAAGCUAGGGAGUGGGAGAGGUAGACGGUACUCGGUAGGAAGGGGUAAAAUCCUUUGAUCUAUUGAUGACCACCUGUGGCGAAGGCGGUCUACCAGAACACGUCCGACGGUGAGGGAUGAAAGCUGGGGGAGCAAACCGGAUUAGAUACCCGGGUAGUCCCAGCUGUAAACUAUGCAAACUCAGUGAUGCAUUGGCUUGAUGCCAAUGCAGUGCUGCAGGGAAGCCGUUAAGUUUGCCGCCUGGGAAGUACGUACGCAAGUAUGAAACUUAAAGGAAUUGGCGGGGGAGCACCACAAGGGGUGAAGCCUGCGGUUC